RNAcentral lists this ribosomal RNA (479 nucleotides) under uncultured fungus. RNAcentral's name for it is "eukaryotic LSU rRNA". It matches the Rfam family "Eukaryotic large subunit ribosomal RNA", at positions 166 to 649 of the family's 3401-position model. The record is from RNAcentral. Lineage: Eukaryota; Fungi.
GGGCAAGGCCGUGGUCUAAUUUGCGNGGAACCGCAAGUCACAGAGGGUGAGAAUCCCGUCUAGGAUCGCGGGCCGCCGUCCAUGUGAAGCUCCCUUCGACGAGUCGAGUUGUUUUGGGAAUGCAGCUCCUAAAUGGGUGGUAAAUUUCAUCUAAAGCUAAAUAUUGGCCAGAGACCGAUAGCGCACAAGUAGAGUGAUCGAAAGAUGAAAAGCACUUUGAAAAGAGGAGUUAAAACAGUAUGUGAAAAUUGUUGAAAGGGAAGNGCUUGCAAUCAGACUUGCGGGGUGACCGCUCCCCCGCCCCUUCGGGGGUGGCUACUCCGUCACUUCCAGGCCAGCAUCGGUUCGGGUGGUCGGUCAAAGAUCCCGGGAAUGUAUCUANCCUCCGGGGUCGACUUAUAGCCCGGGGUGCAAUGCGGCCCACCCGGACCGAGGAACGCGCUUCGGCUCGGAUGCUGGCGUAAUGGUUGUAAGCGGCC